CAGUCGCCGCGGUAAUACAGAGGGUGCGAGCGUUAAUCGGAUUUACUGGGCGUAAAGCGUGCUUAGGCGGCUUUUUAAGUCGGAUGUGAAAUCCCUGAGCUUAACUUAGGAAUUGCAUUCGAUACUGGGAAGCUAGAGUAUGGGAGAGGAUGGUAGAAUUCCAGGUGUAGCGGUGAAAUGCGUAGAGAUCUGGAGGAAUACCGAUGGCGAAGGCAGCCAUCUGGCCUAAUACUGACGCUGAGGUACGAAAGCAUGGGGAGCAAACAGGAUUAGAUACCCCAGUAGUCCCUGUCUCUUAUAC
Molecule: ribosomal RNA, 301 nt
Filed under: uncultured bacterium
Lineage: Bacteria
Description: partial 16S ribosomal RNA
Rfam family: Bacterial small subunit ribosomal RNA
Source: RNAcentral